Molecule: long non-coding RNA, 1086 nt
Organism: Lycium barbarum (goji berry)
Lineage: Eukaryota; Viridiplantae; Streptophyta; Magnoliopsida; Solanales; Solanaceae
Exons: 2
Source: RefSeq, a predicted model, not a curated record
UCUCUGCCGCUCACCCCCUUCAUUUUCUUCAUCUUCUUUUUUCUCUCCGCCUCCCCUCCUACUAUUUCCUGUUCCCCACCACCGCCGCCUACCCCACUCCCAUUUCCCUCUGUUCCCCACUUAAUUUUGUUUCCCCCCGCUCCUCCUUCUCUCUAUUCCCUCAACACAAAGUGAAAACCCUAUAAAAGGGGUGGCGGGUUGAAUCGUUGAGGACAGGUUGGAAAGCCCCCCAAAAAAGGCAUACAGAUCUUGAACCCCGAAAUUUCCUGAAAAGAACAAGUUUUUCCAUUGGCGAAAUCCCCUGAAAAUAACGAAUUUUCCGGUGGUGGAAAUCCCCUGAAAAUAUUGAGUCUGCCAACCGCCUUUGUUUCCCUCUAAAAUAUUAGCCCACUGUUUUCUUAAUAUUCAAAGUGUCGAGCCAUUUUAUUUUUUGCAUUUUGGCCUUGUUAUUGUUUUCGCAUCCGAGUCUACGCAAACUCGGAGAUUUGAAGUGCUCGAGUGUAGAUUGGAGACCCCGUAUCCAUUUCGCUGCACCCGAAGAAGGUUCAUUCUUCCACAAAGAUGAGAUAUCAGCCACUGCUUCAGAAACAGUUAGAUAUAUUCCAUUUAAUCCGAAGCCCUCAAGAGCACUAGAUUCAUGCAACUUUUCCAUAACAUUCCCACCUGGAUUUGCCAGCAUAAGCUGAAAAGUGAAAAAGGACAACAAAUGUUUGUAAGAAAAAUAUUUGACUAAUGAAGGGAAACAAAGAAGCAUAUUUUAUGUGGCUGAUGGAUUUACCUUAAGAGAUCGUUUAUCCAGCGUCCUUCUUAGUUCACAUAUAGUGUCGAUUCAACUUGAAUCUAUGGUUGAUACAGCUGGUGAAGGAAGACAUAAUUUUGUUACUCAACAUAUUGGAUACAAAUUAAAAGAUGAGAAAAUGUUGUCAUUUUUUUUUCUCUUCAAUCGACCUGUCAUGUCGAUAAUUACACAUUUGAUUGCAGUUUCUUUGUUGGCUGCUAUCCUCUCUUCCUCUUCGCGGAUCCAUCUCAAUAUCCUGUAGUUACAAAAUGUGAAUUUCAAGUAAAUAAAACUGUGAAAUUGUGAAA